Molecule: unclassified non-coding RNA, 256 nt
Filed under: Glomus sp.
Lineage: Eukaryota; Fungi; Glomeromycota; Glomeromycetes; Glomerales; Glomeraceae
Description: partial contains 5.8S ribosomal RNA and internal transcribed spacer 2
Rfam family: 5.8S ribosomal RNA (bases 1-65)
Source: RNAcentral
GUGAAUCAUCGAAUUUUUGAACGCAAAUUGCACUCUCCUCGGAGAGUAUGCGCGUUUGAGGGUGGGCCUCUAAAAAAUCGACAUCGUUGCUAUUUCGCGGUGGUGUUGGUCGGAAAUUGGGUCAUCUUAAAUCUUUUGGUUUUAAGCGACUUAAUAUUUUUUUUUUGGUUCAAUGAACGUUUCUAAGAUUUAUUUCUUUACACGUUUAAGGUAUCGAUUUUUAUUAGACGUGACCAUCAUAUGGGACUGGGCCAUU